This 711-nucleotide ribosomal RNA is filed under the name uncultured Acetobacter sp. RNAcentral's name for it is "bacterial SSU rRNA". It matches the Rfam family "Bacterial small subunit ribosomal RNA", at positions 38 to 790 of the family's 1533-position model. The record is from RNAcentral. Lineage: Bacteria; Pseudomonadati; Pseudomonadota; Alphaproteobacteria; Acetobacterales; Acetobacteraceae.
GGCGGCAUGCUUAACACAUGCAAGUCGCACGGACCCUUCGGGGUUAGUGGCGCACGGGUGAGUAACACGUANGAAUCUGUCUUGAGGUGGGGGAUAACUCCGGGAAACUGGAGCUAAUACCGCAUGAUAACUGAGGUUCAAAGGUCGCAAGACCGCCUUGAGAGGGGCCUGCGUUCGAUUAGUUAGUUGGUGGGGUAAUGGCCUACCAAGACGAUGAUCGAUAGCUGGUUUGAGAGGAUGAUCAGCCACACUGGGNCUGAGACACGGCCCAGACUCCUACGGGAGGCAGCAGUGGGGAAUAUUGGACAAUGGGGGCAACCCUGAUCCAGCAAUGCCGCGUGUGUGAAGAAGGUCUUCGGAUUGUAAAACACUUUCGUUGGGGACGAUGAUGACGGUACCCAAAGAAGAAGCCCCGGCUAACUUCGUGCCAGCAGCCGCGGUAAUACGAAGGGGGCGAGCGUUGCUCGGAAUAACUGGGCGUAAAGGGCGCGUAGGCGGCCGAUAGCUGUCAGAUGUGAAAUUUUUGGGCUCAACCCGAAAACUGCAUUUGAUACGUAUUGGCUAGAGUGCGAGAGAGGAUUGCGGAAUUCCCAGUGUAGAGGUGAAAUUCGUAGAUAUUGGGAAGAACACCAGUUGCGAANGCGGCAAUCUGGCUCGUUACUGACGCUGANGCGCGAAAGCGUGGGGAGCAAACAGGAUUAGAUACCCNGG